CUACGGGGCGCACCAGUGGGGAAUAUUGCACAAUGGGCGCAAGCCUGAUGCAGCCAUGCCGCGUGUAUGAAGAAGGCCUUCGGGUCGUAAAGUACUUUCAGCGGGGAGGAAGGGAGUAAAGUUAAUACCUUUGCUCAUUGACGUUACCCGCAGAAGAAGCACCGGCUAACUCCGUGCCAGCAGCCGCGGUAAUACGGAGGGUGCAAGCGUUAAUCGGAAUUACUGGGCGUAAAGCGCACGCAGGCGGUUUGUUAAGUCAGAUGUGAAAUCCCCGGGCUCAACCUGGGAACUGCAUCUGAUACUGGCAAGCUUGAGUCUCGUAGAGGGGGGUAGAAUUCCAGGUGCAGCGGUGAAAUGCGUAGAGAUCUGGAGGAAUACCGGUGGCGAAGGCGGCCCCCUGGACGAAGACUGACGCUCAGGUGCGAAAGCGUGGGGAGCAAACAGGAUUAGAUACCCCAGUAGUC
Molecule: ribosomal RNA, 464 nt
Filed under: uncultured bacterium
Lineage: Bacteria
Description: partial 16S ribosomal RNA
Rfam family: Bacterial small subunit ribosomal RNA
Source: RNAcentral